This 491-nucleotide ribosomal RNA is filed under the name uncultured bacterium. Its description in RNAcentral is "partial 16S ribosomal RNA". It matches the Rfam family "Bacterial small subunit ribosomal RNA", at positions 29 to 506 of the family's 1533-position model. The record is from RNAcentral.
AGUGAACGCUGGCGGUAGGCCUAACACAUGCAAGUCGAACGGCAGCACAGUAAGAGCUUGCUCUUACGGGUGGCGAGUGGCGGACGGGUGAGGAAUACAUCGGAAUCUACUUUUUCGUGGGGGAUAACGUAGGGAAACUUACGCUAAUACCGCAUACGACCUACGGGUGAAAGCAGGGGAUCUUCGGACCUUGCGCGAUUGAAUGAGCCGAUGUCGGAUUAGCUAGUUGGCGGGGUAAAGGCCCACCAAGGCGACGAUCCGUAGCUGGUCUGAGAGGAUGAUCAGCCACACUGGAACUGAGACACGGUCCAGACUCCUACGGGAGGCAGCAGUGGGGAAUAUUGGACAAUGGACGCAAGCCUGAUCCAGCCAUACCGCGUGGGUGAAGAAGGCCUUCGGGUUGUAAAGCCCUUUUGUUGGGAAAGAAAAGCAGCAGGUUAAUACCCCGCUGUUCUGACGGGACCCAAAGAAUAAGCACCGGCUAACUUCGU